RNA transcript from Carlito syrichta (Philippine tarsier), 1361 nucleotides. It is a transcript of the gene named Y-box-binding protein 3 pseudogene, with no coding region annotated. The transcript has a single exon. Lineage: Eukaryota; Metazoa; Chordata; Mammalia; Primates; Tarsiidae. The record is from RefSeq and is a predicted model, not a curated record.
AUGAGCGAGGCAGGCGAGACCACCAUUACCACCACCAUCCUCCUGCAGGAGCUGGCGCAGACGGUUGUUGCAGCGCCCCAGGACCCUGUGCCCAAGAGCCUGGUGGGCAGCGGCGCGCCCCAGGCUGCGGCCCCGGUGCCCACCACCCUGGUCGCAGGACACCCCACUGGGGACCGGCCCCCGCAACAGCCACAGGCACCGCGGCUCCUGCCUCAGUAGCCGCCGCAGGCAGCGAGGACGUGGAGAAAAAAGUUCUCGCUACCAAAGUCCUUGGCACUGUCAAAUGGUUCAACGUCAGAAAUGGAUAUGGAUUUAUAAAUCGAAAUGACACCAAAGAAGAUGUAUUUGUAUAUCAGACUGCCAUCAAGAAGAAUAACCCACGGAAAUAUCUACGCAGUGUAGGAGAUGGAGAAACUGUGGAGUUUGAUGUGGUUGAAGGAGAGAAGGGUGCAGAAGCAGCCAAUGUGACUGGCCCAGAUGGAGUUCCUGUAGAAGGGAGUCAUUAUGCCUCUGAUCGGCGCUGUUACUGACGUGGCUACUAUGGCAGGCACUAUGGCCCUCCUCGGAAUGCUGGUGAGAUUGGAGAGAUGAAGGAUGGAGUCCCAGAGGGAGCACAACUUCCAGGACCAGUUCAUGAAAAUCCAACUUACCGCCCAAGGUACCGUAGUAGGGGACCUCCUCGCUCACGACCUGCUCCAGCUGUUGGAGAGGCUGAAGAUAAAGAGAAUCAACAGGUGGCCAAUGGUGCAAACCAGCCAUCUGCUCGCUGUGGAUACUGGCAUCCCUACAACUAUCAGCGUCACUCCCGUCCUUCUAAUGCUCCUUCACAAGAUGGCAAAGAGACCAGGGCAGGUGAAGCACCAGCUGAGAACCUUGCUCCAGCCACCGAGCAGAGCAGUGCUGACUAACACCAGGCUCCCCAGGCCCUUUACCAUCAGAAGGUGACCUAAAGAAUUAAUGACAAAUAAAGCAAAAAGCAAACCUUACCAACACCAAAGACACAUUCAAGCAAUAAAGUGGAAGACUAACCAAGAUUUGGACAUUAGGAUGUUUACUAUUAUUCUUUAAGAAACUAACAACUGCAAAAGAAAAAUGUCAGCAAAUUUUUCCAGCAAGCUGAGAACCCAGGAAUACCUGCACAGAAGACAAGAGACCAACUUCCCCACUUUCAGCAACCACUAGGUUUAUAUUUUUUUCCUGUUUUUUACUGUUUUUGUAACAAGAAUUGAAAGAAGAAAUAUUAAUACUACAUGGGGAAAACCCUAACCAAAGAAAUCUAAAAUAUAUAGUAAAUGCUUCUUUUUUCUCUUUUGUUCAUUUUGGAUACUGGUGCUAAACUUCCAAAGGUCAUAAUUUAAAAA